CGUAGGGUGCGAGCGUUAAUCGGAAUUACUGGGCGUAAAGCGUGCGCAGGCGGUUUUGUAAGCCAGAUGUGAAAUCCCCGGGCUUAACCUGGGAAUGGCAUUUGGGACUGCAAGGCUUGAGUUUGGCAGAGGAGACUGGAAUUCCCGGUGUAGCAGUGAAAUGCGUAGAUAUCGGGAGGAAUACCGAUGGCGAAGGCAGGUCUCUGGGCUAUAACUGACGCUCAUGCACGAAAGCGUGGGGAGCAAACAGGAUUAGAUACCCUGGUAGUCCACGCCCUAAACGAUGUCGACUGGUUGUUGGGGGUUUGACACUCUCAGUAACGAAGCUAAACGCGUGAAGUCGACCGCCUGGGGAGUACGGCCGCAAGGUUA
Molecule: ribosomal RNA, 372 nt
Filed under: uncultured organism
Description: bacterial SSU rRNA
Rfam family: Bacterial small subunit ribosomal RNA
Source: RNAcentral